This 541-nucleotide ribosomal RNA is filed under the name Anabaena sp. ISB54. RNAcentral's name for it is "bacterial SSU rRNA". It matches the Rfam family "Bacterial small subunit ribosomal RNA", at positions 102 to 676 of the family's 1533-position model. The record is from RNAcentral. Lineage: Bacteria; Bacillati; Cyanobacteriota; Cyanophyceae; Nostocales; Nostocaceae.
ACGGGUGAGUAACGCGUGAGAAUUUGGCUUCAGGUCGGGGACAACAGUUGGAAACGACUGCUAAUACCGGAUGUGCCGAAAGGUGAAAGAUUUAUCGCCUGAAGAUAAGCUCGCGUCUGAUUAGCUAGUUGGUGGGGUAAGAGCCUACCAAGGCGACGAUCAGUAGCUGGUCUGAGAGGAUGAUCAGCCACACUGGGACUGAGACACGGCCCAGACUCCUACGGGAGGCAGCAGUGGGGAAUUUUCCGCAAUGGGCGAAAGCCUGACGGAGCAAUACCGCGUGAGGGAGGAAGGCUCUUGGGUCGUAAACCUCUUUUCUCAAGGAAGAAGAAAGUGACGGUACUUGAGGAAUAAGCAUCGGCUAACUCCGUGCCAGCAGCCGCGGUAAUACGGAGGAUGCAAGCGUUAUCCGGAAUGAUUGGGCGUAAAGGGUCCGCAGGUGGAACUGAAAGUCUGCUGUUAAAGAGUCUGGCUCAACCAGAUAAAAGCAGUGGAAACUACAGAACUAGAGUGCGUUCGGGGCAGAAGGAAUUCCUGGUGU